RNAcentral lists this transfer RNA (76 nucleotides) under Mycolicibacterium rhodesiae. RNAcentral describes it as "tRNA-Lys". It matches the Rfam family "tRNA". Rfam says of the family: Transfer RNA (tRNA) molecules are approximately 80 nucleotides in length. Their secondary structure includes four short double-helical elements and three loops (D, anti-codon, and T loops). The record is from RNAcentral. Lineage: Bacteria; Bacillati; Actinomycetota; Actinomycetes; Mycobacteriales; Mycobacteriaceae. RNAcentral also lists the same sequence under 4 other names.
GCCCCUAUAGCUCAGUCGGUAGAGCUACGGACUUUUAAUCCGCAGGUCCCAGGUUCGAGCCCUGGUGGGGGCACAA